Long non-coding RNA from Cygnus atratus (black swan), 1810 nucleotides. RefSeq lists it as uncharacterized. The transcript is spliced from 3 exons. Lineage: Eukaryota; Metazoa; Chordata; Aves; Anseriformes; Anatidae. The record is from RefSeq and is a predicted model, not a curated record.
GGCUAACAAAAACUCCUUAUGUAAAAUUAAUAGGAGCAAAACCCAGAAGGAUCUUUCUGCAUUAAGAACAUGUCCCUCAAAAGCAGUCGGCUGAUAAAGCUUAAAAAGAUACGUUCCUGGCUACUCAAGGUGCCUGCUAAGGGAAAGUGUUGGGCACCCACAGUGUUGCCCCAUGGUGUGACUGCUGAAGCCAGUCAAUGCCAUCAGCAUUAGUGUCUGCACCAGCACAUUUCUGGGGAGCUGCAGUGGUUUCUAGCAUAGGUUUUGGUCAUACCUUACUCUGCGUCUUCUUCAAGCCAAGCUGCAAACCAAAUGUUGACAUUGUCUUAUAACACUCUCCAAUUGCAAAGAAGACCAGCUCAAGCCUGCCCCAAGUUUUGUUGGUCCCUUGGUGGAAAAUAGACCCAACUGUAUUCUGUUCUGGGCGAUGAAAAAAGAAGUUUAAACCAAAUAGUUUCUUAACUAAUUCCAUUCACUAACAAUAUCUUACUGGAAAAAACAAAGCAGACUCAUUGGCCUUCUCAGUCAUCACUUGCAUAAGCUCUCUGUAUUAGGCAAGGUCUGAAGUGAGCAAACAGUCAAUUCCCGAGUCCUGAUGGUCAACCUCAGAACUGGUGUGACUCAAAGGAAGAGCUCAAUCUCCUUAUGAAAAGGCAUAGCAUUCUAAUGUCCUUGCAUUCAGAUAACGUGAAUGAAGGCAAAAGCAAUUCAUCUUUCCCAGCAGCAUAGUCAUAUGAAAAUACGUCUUAGAGGUCUCAGCUAUGACAGGAAAACUACCUAUCAUUUUAUGUUGUCAACAUGAAGAGCAUUAAAGAUUUCUAUGCUUAACAAUGCCAAACAAAAAAAGCAUAGGGGAGGUCAAGCCAUAUUCAUUACUGCUUCAGAAACUGCUUUUAGGUCCAUUUCAAAACAAAGGUCUCAUGACAUCUUCCAAAAUGAUGUAAAUCUCAGCCUCUUCUGAUUUAAACUUCCAUGAUGGUGUUCUGCACCAUAACCCCCAUAAUUGUUAUCUCUAAAGUGUAAUUUUCCAAGCCUCCAGGACAGGAGCUGUGCAAACAAUUGAUUUUUUCAGCUCUUCAGCUAAUCUGAAAAAUUGAGAAUGAAAUCGGUUGCAGUCAUUGCCAAAUGGCUUUUUUUUUUUCUCAUUUAAACAAUAGACAAAAUGGUUGCAGAGUAAAAUCCACUCAUGAUUCAAAUCUUUGUCCAAUCCAAAAUGUGAUGUUUUCCUUUGGUUUUGGAAUUUUACUCUGUUUAAAAAGCUUUACAUUUUUAAUAUUUUAAUCUCUCUCUUUCCCUCCUCCUGGGAAUGAAACUAUUCACUGAAUUUUAGUCCUCUGUGCAAGUAUGUAUGCCCUCUUACCCCUUUGUCCUAGUUGCAUUUUCAUGGUAGAAAAAUACUUACUUCCCCAGCCUCAAUUGCCUGUCCUCUUCAGGGUGGCCAGAGGCCCAUUGCAUGAGGCUGUGACUCUCAAUAUUAUGAAUCAAACCCAGAUCGCCUGUUUUUGUCCAGAAGACUGGAAAAGGCCAUAUAUAGUGCCCAUUGUGAAAAAGAAGGGGAAAGGAGCUGAAGAAUUAAAAAAGAAGAACAAAUAACAAAAAAAAUAUAAAUAAAUAAAUAAAUAAAUUCCUCCCCUUUCCCCUCAGCUUAAUUCAAUUCUUGGAGAAAGUCUGGAACAGAACAAAAAAAAAUAAAACUGUCUAUAAACAGCUAAGGCGGACUGAGUAACUGUCAAUGCGGAUUAGUCAGAGCAAACUAUUUGAAAGAAAUGUACUUGAAGAACUAAGGAAACAUUGGGAACUGGGUGGAUAA